This is a long non-coding RNA of Glossina fuscipes, 541 nucleotides long. RefSeq lists it as uncharacterized. The record is from RefSeq and is a predicted model, not a curated record. NCBI's taxonomy places the organism in Eukaryota, Metazoa, Arthropoda, Insecta, Diptera, Glossinidae. The transcript has 2 exons.
AAGGAAAAAAAAAAUGAGUAUAAAAGCCAUUACGAGAAAUGUAAGUAUGUGUGGUCGGUAAAUGAAAAAAAAAUCUCCACACGUCUCGAGUGGCAUACGGCUUUUUUCAGCUGUCAUCUAGUCAGCUGGUAUUGAGAAGACUUCAAAAAAAAUUAUUCGUAAUAAAAAGUGAAAUGAAAAUUUCGACUUUUACUUAGUGUGUUAAUUAUACAUAAGAAGUUUAUUAAAUUGCUUAAUAUAUUUUUUAAAUUAUUUUAAACGAAAAACCAACAGAAAUUGUUCAGAAAUUGAACGCGAAAAAUAAAGAAAGCAACCGAGCACAUAAAUCUAAUUGGUCCAAAGAGUGACUGGGAGGCUGUGUAAUUUCUUAACCGGCUAAAUUAACCCAUUUCGACCGGCCUUUGAUUUACUCACUGAUUAGUGUUUUUGGUUGCAAUUGUGAAGGGCGAAUGUGAAUUUAGAAUUGCUGGCAUUACUUUUAUGUCGUACAAGUUAUAUUUUUAUUUUUUUUUUUUUUGGUAAUUGCUUCAUAUAUAAAUUU